Molecule: long non-coding RNA, 557 nt
Organism: Dermochelys coriacea (leatherback sea turtle)
Lineage: Eukaryota; Metazoa; Chordata; Testudines; Dermochelyidae
Exons: 4
Source: RefSeq, a predicted model, not a curated record
AAGAGACCCAGUUUGGGAAUAUUUUAAUGAAGUUCCUCUACCUGUGGGUAAGACAGGCAUGCAUGCAAAAUGCAAACAGUGCAACAAAGAAAUGCAAGGCCAGGUUGCCAGAAUGAAACAAUAUAAUGAGAAGUGUUCCUUCUCAAGAGGAAGCUGUGUUGAAGACGAUGAAAGGAACAUGUCAGAACAUGCAGGAUCUUCAGGAGAAUCCAUCCUCAACAUACAGGAUUCUGAAGACUAUCCACCUUCAAGAUCACCAUAAUUUUCUAUAGUUUCAGAGUUAUCUGCCAAUGAUCGUGUUUCAGUCACAUUAUGUAUAUCACAUAGCCACAGUAUAUCACAUGUAGCAAAAAGAAAAAAAAAUCUCCAUCAUCCAGAAACAACCAUAGAUAAGUUUAUGAUAAGAACCAGCAGAUUACACAAAGAGGGUCAAACUUUAACUGUUGAAGAAGAGGAGUUGCUCUGACAUGGACAUCCAGCAAUCAUCCCUCCAUAAUGCCAACUAUAAUAAACUUCAGAGCUAAGGGUGAUGAUGUUGGAAAGAAAUAUUUUUUCUG